GUCAUGCUGACUCAAUACGCACCUCGUAGACCCCUCGAGGGUUAUCAAGUACCGGAUUAACAGUUAUUUCUUUCACUGAGGUAUCGGAAUCAGAGGUUCCUACAACUUCUCUUUUUUUUUUUUUUUUUUUUUUUUUUAGCAGGAUCGACCUCGAUUCCUCUGAUUCGCUCACAACAAGCCUCGGUAGCUUGAUGGACAACACUCCAUAAGUGCACUGAUUCAGACUCAAAAGUAUGAGUUAUCUCAACCGGUCAAACAACUUGCCCCAAGUCUACCGGAUGCCCCUGUUCUGCUUGGGACUUUGCCAUCAUGUCAUCAACAUGGCAUUUGCUUUCACGAUGAAUCAUAUCAUGAAACAAAGUCACCGUAGACCUCUGAUACGUGGCACCGGCCUCAUGUGAUGGAACGACAUCAACUUAGAACAAGAAGGUGCCCCUUGUGUGAUGGACCUGGUUUACUUCAUAUCAUCUGGCAACAAUUCAAUCUGGUCUUGGCCAAGAAGCCAUCCAUGAAGAUAAACACUGAGACCUGAGCCAUAUAAUCAACCAAUACCUCAUUGUGAAGUACCGGGAAUUCAUCCUUCAGAUUAGCUCUGUUCACAUCUUGGUGGUCCAUACACCUUCUCAUCUUUCAGCACCAGUUUCCG
This 646-nucleotide long non-coding RNA is filed under the name Lathyrus oleraceus (garden pea). RNAcentral describes it as "Pisum sativum (pea) long non-coding RNA (PSAT_LNC027691)". The record is from RNAcentral. Lineage: Eukaryota; Viridiplantae; Streptophyta; Magnoliopsida; Fabales; Fabaceae.